This 481-nucleotide ribosomal RNA is filed under the name uncultured bacterium. RNAcentral's name for it is "partial 16S ribosomal RNA". It matches the Rfam family "Bacterial small subunit ribosomal RNA", at positions 355 to 852 of the family's 1533-position model. The record is from RNAcentral.
UGGGGAAUAUUGCACAAUGGGCGAAAGCCUGAUGCAGCAACGCCGCGUGAGUGAUGAAGGUCUUCGGAUUGUAAAGCCCUGUCUUUUGGGACGAUAAUGACGGUACCAAAGGAGGAAGCCACGGCUAACUACGUGCCAGCAGCCGCGGUAAUACGUAGGUGGCGAGCGUUGUCCGGAUUUACUGGGCGUAAAGGGUGCGUAGGCGGAUGUUUAAGUGAGAUGUGAAAUACCCGGGCUUAACUUGGGUGCUGCAUUUCAAACUGGAUAUCUAGAGUGCAGGAGAGGAGAAUGGAAUUCCUAGUGUAGCGGUGAAAUGCGUAGAGAUUAGGAAGAACACCAGUGGCGAAGGCGAUUCUCUGGACUGUAACUGACGCUGAGGCACGAAAGCGUGGGUAGCAAACAGGAUUAGAUACCCUGGUAGUCCACGCCGUAAACGAUGAGUACUAGGUGUAGGAGGUAUCGACCCCUUCUGUGCCGCAGU